Molecule: ribosomal RNA, 253 nt
Filed under: uncultured bacterium
Lineage: Bacteria
Description: partial 16S ribosomal RNA
Rfam family: Bacterial small subunit ribosomal RNA
Source: RNAcentral
UACGGAGGGUGCGAGCGUUAUUCGGAAUUACUGGGCGUAAAGCGCGUGUAGGCGGGGAAGCAAGUCUGAUGUGAAAGCGCCGGGCUUAACCUGGGAAGUGCAUUGGAAACUGUUUUUCUUGAGUACUGGAGAGGAAGGGAGAAGUCCCGGUGUAGAGGUGAAAUUCGUAGAGAUCGGGAGGAACACCAGUGGCGAAGGCGCCCUUCUGGACGGUUACUGACGCUGAGACGCGAGAGCGUGGGGAGCAAACAGG